GUGAACGCUGGCGGCAGGCCUAACACAUGCAAGUCGAGCGGCAGCGCGGUGUAGCAAUACACUGGCGGCGAGCGGCGGACGGGUGAGGAAUACAUCGGAAUUUACCCAAUCGUGGGGGAUAACGUAGGGAAACUUACGCUAAUACCGCAUGAACUGGAGACAGCAAAGCGGCGGACCUUCGGCGUCGCGCGGUUGGAUGAGCCGAUGUCGGAUUAGCUAGUGGCGGGGUAAAGGCCCACCAAGGCGACGAUCCGUAGCUGGUCUGAGAGGGAUGAUCAGCCACACUGGAACUGAGACACGGUCCAGACUCCUACGGGAGGCAGCAGUGGGAAUAUUGGACAAUGGCGCAAGCCUGAU
This 357-nucleotide ribosomal RNA is filed under the name uncultured bacterium. RNAcentral's name for it is "bacterial SSU rRNA". It matches the Rfam family "Bacterial small subunit ribosomal RNA", at positions 29 to 387 of the family's 1533-position model. The record is from RNAcentral.